RNAcentral lists this ribosomal RNA (514 nucleotides) under Theileria cervi. Its description in RNAcentral is "SSU rRNA". It matches the Rfam family "Eukaryotic small subunit ribosomal RNA", at positions 551 to 1094 of the family's 1831-position model. The record is from RNAcentral. Lineage: Eukaryota; Apicomplexa; Aconoidasida; Piroplasmida; Theileriidae.
GAGGGCAAGUCUGGUGCCAGCAGCCGCGGUAAUUCCAGCUCCAAUAGCGUAUAUUAAAAUUGUUGCAGUUAAAAAGCUCGUAGUUGAAUUUCAGCUGCUCCGCACUUUCUUCCCGUUAUGGAGGUUGUGCGCCGUGGCUUAUUUCGGACUGUGUUAUGCACUGUCCGGAUGUUUACUUUGAGAAAAUUAGAGUGCUCAAAGCAGGCUUUUGGCUUGAAUAGUUUAGCAUGGAAUAAUAAAGUAGGACUUUGGUUCUAUUUUGUUGGUUUUAGGUACCAAAGUAAUGGUUAAUAGGAGCAGUUGGGGGAAUUCGUAUUUAACUGUCAGAGGUGAAAUUCUUAGAUUUGUUAAAGACGAACUACUGCGAAAGCAUUUGCCAAGGAUGUUUCCAUUAAUCAAGAACGAAAGUUAGGGGAUCGAAGACGAUCAGAUACCGUCGUAGUCCUAACCAUAAACUAUGCCGACUAGAGAUUGGAGGUCGUCAGUUUUUACGACUCCUUCAGCACCUUGAGAG